RNAcentral lists this ribosomal RNA (450 nucleotides) under uncultured bacterium. RNAcentral's name for it is "bacterial SSU rRNA". It matches the Rfam family "Bacterial small subunit ribosomal RNA", at positions 28 to 478 of the family's 1533-position model. The record is from RNAcentral.
GAUGAACGCUGGCGGCGUGCUUAACACAUGCAAGUCGAGCGAAGCGAUUUAAGUGAAGUUUUCGGAUGGAUCUUAGAUUGACUGAGCGGCGGACGGGUGAGUAACGCGUGGAUAACCUGCCUCACACAGGGGGAUAACAGUUAGAAAUGACUGCUAAUACCGCAUAAGCGCACGGUACCGCAUGGUACAGUGUGAAAAACUCCGGUGGUGUGAGAUGGAUCCGCGUCUGAUUAGGUAGUUGGUGAGGUAACGGCCCACCAAGCCGACGAUCAGUAGCCGACCUGAGAGGGUGACCGGCCACAUUGGGACUGAGACACGGCCCAAACUCCUACGGGAGGCAGCAGUGGGGAAUAUUGCACAAUGGGCGAAAGCCUGAUGCAGCAACGCCGCGUGAGUGAAGAAGUAUCUCGGUAUGUAAAGCUCUAUCAGCAGGGAAGAAAAUGACGGUAC